UGACCGCUGGCGGCGUGCCUAAUACAUGCAAGUCGAGCGAACGGACGAGAAGCUUGCUUCUCUGAUGUUAGCGGCGGACGGGUGAGUAACACGUGGAUAACCUACCUAUAAGACUGGGAUAACUUCGGGAAACCGUAGCUAAUACCGGAUAAUAUUUUGAACCGCAUGGUUCAAAAGUGAAAGACGGUCUUGCUGUCACUUAUAGAUGGAUCCGCGCUGCAUUAGCUAGUUGGUAAGGUAACGGCUUACCAAGGCAACGAUGCAUAGCCGACCUGAGAGGGUGAUCGGCCACACUGGAACUGAGACACGGUCCAGACUCCUACGGGAGGCAGCAGUAGGGAAUCUUCCGCAAUGGGCGAAAGCCUGACGGAGCAACGCCGCGUGAGUGAUGAAGGUCUUAGGAUCGUAAAACUCUGUUAUUAGGGAAGAACAUAUGUGUAAGUAACUGUGCACAUCUUGACGGUACCUAAUCAGAAAGCCUCGGCUAACUACGUG
Molecule: ribosomal RNA, 495 nt
Filed under: uncultured bacterium
Lineage: Bacteria
Description: partial 16S ribosomal RNA
Rfam family: Bacterial small subunit ribosomal RNA
Source: RNAcentral